GACGCCACUGCUAUCGGGAUAGGACUAGGACAUGCUAGUCGAGCGCUCAGCCAAAAAGAGGCGCGGCAUACAGCUCAGUAACACGGUAUCUGCCCUAGGACGAGAACAACCCCGGGAAACUGGGGCUAACUCUCGAUAGGUGAAGAACUCUGGAAUGAGUCUUCGCCCAAAAGGCUUCACGUUAUGCGCGUGAGGUUGCCUAAGGAUGAGGCCGCGACCGAUCAGGUUGUUGGUGAGGUAAUGGCUCACCAAGCCUUUUACCGGUGCGGGCCGUGAGAGCGGGAGCCCGGAGAUGGGCACUGAGACAAGGGCCCAGGCCCUACGGGGCGCAGCAGCCGCGAAAACUUUGCAAUACACGAAAGUGUGACAGGGCUAUCCCGAGUGCCAUCCGCUGAGGAAGGCUUUUACCCAGUCUAGAACGCUGGGGGAAUAAGGAGAGGGCAAGUCUGGUGUCAGCCGCCGCGGUAAUACCAGCUCUCCGAGUGGUGUGGAUGUUUAUUGGGCCUAAAGCAUCCGUAGCUGGCUAAGUUAGUCCCUUGUUAAAUCCACCGAAUUAAUCGUUGGAUUGCGGGGGAUACUGCUUGGCUAGGGGACGAGAGAGGCAGACGGUAUUCCCGGGGUAGGGGUGAAAUCCUAUAAUCCCGAGAAGACCACCAGUGGCGAAGGCUGCCUGCUAGAACGCGCCCGACGGUGAGGGAUGAAAGCUGGGGGAGCGAACCGGAUUAGAUACCCGGGUAGUCCCAGCUGUAAACGAUGCAGGCUAGGUGUUUGGACGGCCACGUGCCGUUCUAGUGCCGCAGGGAAGCUGUUAAGCCUGCCGCCUGGGGAGUACGAUCGCAAGAUUGAAACUUAAAGGAAU
Molecule: ribosomal RNA, 859 nt
Filed under: uncultured archaeon
Lineage: Archaea
Description: bacterial SSU rRNA
Rfam family: Archaeal small subunit ribosomal RNA
Source: RNAcentral